RNAcentral lists this transfer RNA (73 nucleotides) under Stegodyphus mimosarum. It matches the Rfam family "tRNA". Rfam says of the family: Transfer RNA (tRNA) molecules are approximately 80 nucleotides in length. Their secondary structure includes four short double-helical elements and three loops (D, anti-codon, and T loops). Lineage: Eukaryota; Metazoa; Arthropoda; Arachnida; Araneae; Eresidae. The record is from Rfam by way of RNAcentral.
GCCUUCGUGGUGUAGUGGUCAGCACGCUGGACGCGUAACCGAGAGGUCCGUGGUUCGAUUCCUGGCGAGGGCA